AUGCACAGAAGGUGAACUGAAGGAGGCUCCACCAUGGAAGCGGCAGCCUUUCUCCUGGAUCCUGUUGCAUACCCUGCAGGUGUAGGUUGCUGGCACAUUGCCUCCACCUGGGGGCUGUCAGAUGGGACCUCUCACCCUGGCGCAGUGAGAGGUUAAGAACAGGCUUUCAAGAAGACAGACCUGUCUGACACACAGCAUUCAUUCAUCUAACAACUGUGUUGUGCUGGGCACUGUUCUAGGAAGCCGAGAUACUUCAGAGGUUCAGCAAGGAGUUGAGGAGGUUCAUAUGCAUUCAGUGAAUGUUUGCUGAUGAAGUUGAGCGUUAUGAUGAAGCUGCUCAGCUCGGAGGAUGAGGUUCUGGUGGGCAACGCUGCCCUCUGCCUUGGUAACUGCAUGGAGGUGCCCAACGUUGCGUCUUCCCUGCUAAAGACGGACCUUUUGCAGGUCUUGUUAAAGCUCGCAGGCAGUGACACACAGAAGACGGCCGUGCAAGUGAACGCAGGCAUUGCUCUGGGGAAGCUGUGCACAGCUGAGCCCAGGUUUGCUGCUCAACUGAGAAAGCUUCAUGGCCUAGAAAUUCUCAACUCUACGAUGAAAUACGUCAGUGAUUCUUGAGAGAUGCAGGGUUUGUGUGCCUUUGGGGAACACACAGAUGCACACUGUGUGUUGUUCCUAUGCUAAUAAAGACCUUUGAUAUAUCCA
This 702-nucleotide small RNA is filed under the name Pan troglodytes (chimpanzee). RNAcentral's name for it is "processed transcript". Lineage: Eukaryota; Metazoa; Chordata; Mammalia; Primates; Hominidae. The record is from RNAcentral.